AUACGUAGGUGGCAGGCGUUGUCCGGAUUUACUGGGUGUAAAGGGCGUGUAGGCGGAGAUGCAAGUCAGGAGUGAAAUCUAGGGGCUCAACCCCUAAACUGCUUUUGAAACUGUAUCCCUUGAGUAUCGGAGAGGCAGGCGGAAUUCCUAGUGUAGCGGUGAAAUGCGUAGAUAUUAGGAGGAACACCAGUGGCGAAGGCGGCCUGCUGGACGACAACUGACGCUGAGGCGCGAAAGCGUGGGGAGCAAACAGGAUUAGAUACCCUGGUAGUCCACGCUGUAAACGAUGAAUACUAGGUGUGGGGGGACUGACCCCCUCCGUGCCGCAGUUAACACAAUAAGUAUUCCUCCUGGGGAGUACGAUCGCAAGAUUGAAACUCAAAUGAAUUGACGGGG
RNAcentral lists this ribosomal RNA (396 nucleotides) under uncultured bacterium. Its description in RNAcentral is "partial 16S ribosomal RNA". It matches the Rfam family "Bacterial small subunit ribosomal RNA", at positions 523 to 918 of the family's 1533-position model. The record is from RNAcentral.